RNAcentral lists this ribosomal RNA (253 nucleotides) under uncultured bacterium. RNAcentral's name for it is "partial 16S ribosomal RNA". It matches the Rfam family "Bacterial small subunit ribosomal RNA", at positions 524 to 776 of the family's 1533-position model. The record is from RNAcentral.
UACGUAGGGGGCUAGCGUUGUCCGGAAUCAUUGGGCGUAAAGCGCGUGUAGGCGGUCCGGUAAGUCCGCUGUGAAAGUCGGGGGCUCAACCCUCGGAUGCCGGUGGAUACUGUCGGGCUUGAGUACGGAAGAGGCGAGUGGAAUUCCUGGUGUAGCGGUGAAAUGCGCAGAUAUCAGGAGGAACACCGGUGGCGAAGGCGGGUCUCUGGGCAAUUCCUGACGCUGAGGCGCGAAAGCGUGGGGAGCAAACGGG